RNAcentral lists this ribosomal RNA (471 nucleotides) under uncultured bacterium. RNAcentral's name for it is "bacterial SSU rRNA". It matches the Rfam family "Bacterial small subunit ribosomal RNA", at positions 328 to 792 of the family's 1533-position model. The record is from RNAcentral.
CAUCCAGACUCCUACGGGAGGCAGCAGUAGGGAAUCUUCCACAAUGGACGAAAGUCUGAUGGAGCAACGCCGCGUGAGUGAAGAAGGGUUUCGGCUCGUAAAGCUCUGUUGGUAGUGAAGAAAGAUAGAGGUAGUAACUGGCCUUUAUUUGACGGUAAUUACUUAGAAAGUCACGGCUAACUACGUGCCAGCAGCCGCGGUAAUACGGAGGAUGCGAGCGUUAUCCGGAUUUAUUGGGUUUAAAGGGUGCGUAGGCGGAUUUUUAAGUCAGCGGUCAAAUCGUGGGGCUCAACCCCAUCCAGCCGUUGAAACUGGGGAUCUAGAGUGUGCGAGAGGUAUGCGGAAUGCGCAGUGUAGCGGUGAAAUGCUUAGAUAUUGCGCAGAACUCCGAUUGCGAAGGCAGCAUACCGGCGGCGAUCUGACGCUGAGGCACGAAAGCGUGGGUAUCGAACAGGAUUAGAUACCCGCGUA